Molecule: unclassified non-coding RNA, 321 nt
Filed under: uncultured fungus
Lineage: Eukaryota; Fungi
Description: partial contains 5.8S ribosomal RNA and internal transcribed spacer 2
Rfam family: 5.8S ribosomal RNA (bases 1-133)
Source: RNAcentral
UGGUUCUGGCAUCGAUGAAGAACGCAGCGAAAUGCGAUAAGUAAUGUGAAUUGCAGAAUUCAGUGAAUCAUCGAAUCUUUGAACGCACAUUGCGCCCCUCGGUAUUCCGGGGGGCAUGCCUGUCCGAGCGUCAUUGGACCUCUCAAGCGUAGCUUGGUGUUGGGUGUUGCCCCCGGGGUGCACCCGAAAAUCAUGGGCGGUCCGAGGUGACUUUAAGUGUAGUAAAUGUUCUCCCGCUUUGGAAGUUUGCCCUACGACUGCCCGACAACCCCCCCGCAUCAAUCAAUGAUUGACCUCGGAUCAGGUAGGGAUACCCGCUGA